GAUACGACCACCUAGUCAAAAGUUUAAAACAUAAAUUGACAAUAAUUAAGAUGUUACAAUGUAUUUUUUUAAAGACGAUUUCCCCAUUUCAUUGACCUUUUGCUUGGUUGCAAUAUCGUCACCCGAUUUAACUUAUGCAAAUUCGGUGGAAAUUGAUAAAGUCGCGUGGCUAAAAAGUAAAAUGCUGCAGUUUCGACCGAAAUGAGUUCGAAUGACUCGCAAGCCAGAACAUGAAUCAGCAAAGGGACUUGGCUUAAUUGUGCGGGAUAAGCCCAGACUAACAAAUGGAAUGCAGUUCUACGCAUGGCACGCGUCUCACUUGCCAUGUGACCAACAUUUUGGCUAUUAACCGGCUUUUGCCUCGCUACUCUAUCGCUACGAAGAUACUCCAAGUUCAUGGAUACACUCUCGAUUCGGAAUUAAUCAGACGACUUUCAACCACGGGCAAUCUCAGACGGUCACAACAACCACCGUUCAGAUGCCCCGGGUCCCACCAACAUUCCUGGCAUAAUUUCGUGUGUGAGUAAGCAAACGAGUUCGGGAAAAUAUUAGACGUCAUGGGGCACCUUGGUUUGCCGCUGGCAACAAGAAGACGUUGGGAUUCACUCGAAAUUUACUGUCUGCUGAGUGCACAAAGGUGCAAAGUCGAGCUCAGCGAGCAAAUUGGAAUUUUUGGUAAUCACAGGACGACUCAGCUCAUUUGGAAGAAUGCCUCAGGCGAAGGCCUGUUUCUGAAUUGGCUAACGCAGUAUUUUUCUGAAUUACCCAAAUAGGAACAAUCAAGGUUGUAGAAAUCGGGUAAACAAUAUUUUUCGUUAGUCAUUCCAAUUAAAAUUUGUAUAUUGGCACUAAGAAAUUCCCAGCGGAAGCAACAUGUUGCGAACAGUCCAGCAACACGCAAGUUCACUUUUGCCGGCUUGCAAGUUUUGCCUUCGAUCCGAAGUUCGUUUCGAACUUAAAUCAGCGCAGACUCAGACGGCUCGAGAUCAGAGAACUCACACUUGAAUUGAGCUAUAAACGAGCUAAGCUACAUCUUUAUGAAUUUAUUU
Molecule: non-coding RNA, 1049 nt
Organism: Drosophila melanogaster (fruit fly)
Lineage: Eukaryota; Metazoa; Arthropoda; Insecta; Diptera; Drosophilidae
Source: Ensembl